This 72-nucleotide transfer RNA is filed under the name Centruroides sculpturatus (bark scorpion). RNAcentral's name for it is "tRNA-Gln". It matches the Rfam family "tRNA". Rfam says of the family: Transfer RNA (tRNA) molecules are approximately 80 nucleotides in length. Their secondary structure includes four short double-helical elements and three loops (D, anti-codon, and T loops). Lineage: Eukaryota; Metazoa; Arthropoda; Arachnida; Scorpiones; Buthidae. The record is from RNAcentral.
GGUCCCAUGGUGUAAUGGUUAACACUCUGGACUCUGACUCCAGUGAACCGAGUUGAAAUCUCGGUGGGGCCU